Molecule: long non-coding RNA, 467 nt
Organism: Labeo rohita (rohu)
Lineage: Eukaryota; Metazoa; Chordata; Actinopteri; Cypriniformes; Cyprinidae
Exons: 3
Source: RefSeq, a predicted model, not a curated record
AAAAAUAGAUGGGUUAUUUUUUUAACCCAAUAGAUGGGUUACACAUAUUGGGUCACUAUGUUGGGUUAUUUUCUAAAACGUUGGGUUAUUUUUUAAACAUCGUUGGGUUGUUUUUAAUAAUAACCCAGCGUUGGGUUUAAUUGGUUCCCGCGGCGACAGUUCAAAUUUUAACGGACGACGGUGACUGACGACAGAAGAAGCUGCUGCUGCAUCAGUAUGAGACAUUGGGUUCUUCAGUGAAGGGAAAACUACAACACUGGAAUCUCAUACAUUAAACAUCCACAUGCCAAUUAACUGAAAUAUUUCAAGAGGAAGGAGUGAAUGAAGGAAGUUUUAUGCGACCGGAUGACACCAGCAUUUCUGAACUCCAAGAACUCCUCCCAAGUUUUAGCAUUUUCAACAGUGAAGUAGUGGAACAGAAGACCUUACUACAAGCAGUGGAUCUGUGUUUCAGACAUUUCUACAUG